RNAcentral lists this ribosomal RNA (511 nucleotides) under Lasiodiplodia theobromae. Its description in RNAcentral is "eukaryotic LSU rRNA". The stretch from base 155 to 308 matches the Rfam family "5.8S ribosomal RNA". The record is from RNAcentral. Lineage: Eukaryota; Fungi; Ascomycota; Dothideomycetes; Botryosphaeriales; Botryosphaeriaceae.
AAGGAUCAUUACCGAGUUUUAACGGGCUCUGCUCGGCUCGACUCUCCCACCCUUUGUGAACGUACCUCUGUUGCUUUGGCGGCUUCGGCCGCCAAAGGACCUUCAAACUCCAGUCAGUAAACGCAGACGUCUGAUAAACAAGUUAAUAAACUAAAACUUUCAACAACGGAUCUCUUGGUUCUGGCAUCGAUGAAGAACGCAGCGAAAUGCGAUAAGUAAUGUGAAUUGCAGAAUUCAGUGAAUCAUCGAAUCUUUGAACGCACAUUGCGCCCCUUGGUAUUCCGGGGGGCAUGCCUGUUCGAGCGUCAUUACAACCCUCAAGCUCUGCUUGGAAUUGGGCACCGUCCUCACUGCGGACGCGCCUCAAAGACCUCGGCGGUGGCUGUUCAGCCCUCAAGCGUAGUAGAAUACACCUCGCUUUGGAGCGGUUGGCGUCGCCCGCCGGACGAACCUUCUGAACUUUUCUCAAGGUUGACCUCGGAUCAGGUAGUCGGAUACCCGCUGAACUUAA